Molecule: ribosomal RNA, 518 nt
Filed under: uncultured bacterium
Lineage: Bacteria
Description: bacterial SSU rRNA
Rfam family: Bacterial small subunit ribosomal RNA
Source: RNAcentral
ACUGAGACACGGCCCAAACUCCUACGGGAGGCAGCAGUAGGGAAUCUUCCACAAUGGGCGAAAGCCUGAUGGAGCAACGCCGCGUGGGUGAAGAAGGUCUUCGGAUCGUAAAACCCUGUUGUUAGAGAAGAAAGUGCGUGAGAGUAACUGUUCACGUUUCGACGGUAUCUAACCAGAAAGCCACGGCUAACUACGUGCCAGCAGCCGCGGUAAUACGUAGGUGGCAAGCGUUAUCCGGAUUUAUUGGGCGUAAAGGGAACGCAGGCGGUCUUUUAAGUCUGAUGUGAAAGCCUUCGGCUUAACCGGAGUAGUGCAUUGGAAACUGGGAGACUUGAGUGCAGAAGAGGAGAGUGGAACUCCAUGUGUAGCGGUGAAAUGCGUAGAUAUAUGGAAGAACACCAGUGGCGAAAGCGGCUCUCUGGUCUGUAACUGACGCUGAGGUUCGAAAGCGUGGGUAGCAAACAGGAUUAGAUACCCUGGUAGUCCACGCCGUAAACGAUGAAUGCUAAGUGUUGGAG